This 523-nucleotide ribosomal RNA is filed under the name uncultured bacterium. Its description in RNAcentral is "bacterial SSU rRNA". It matches the Rfam family "Bacterial small subunit ribosomal RNA", at positions 8 to 524 of the family's 1533-position model. The record is from RNAcentral.
AGAGUUUGAUCAUGGCUCAGGACGAACGCUGGCGGCGUGCUUAAUACAUGCAAGUCGAGCGAGGUUACUGUUUUGGAUCCCUUCGGGGUGAAGAAGCUUUAACCUAGCGGCGGACGGGUGAGUAACGCGUGGGCAACCUACCCCAAAGUCCGGGAUAACAGUGGGAAACCGCUGCUAAUACCGGAUGGCUUUACCUGAGGGCAUCCUUGGGUAAAGAAAGGUUACGCUUUGGGAUGGGCCCGCGUCCCAUUAGCUAGUUGGUGAGGUAACGGCUCACCAAGGCGACGAUGGGUAGCCGGCCUGAGAGGGUGAACGGCCACACUGGGACUGAGACACGGCCCAGACUCCUACGGGAGGCAGCAGUAGGGAAUAUUGCGCAAUGGGCGGAAGCCUGACGCAGCGACGCCGCGUGAGCGAAGAAGGCCUUCGGGUCGUAAAGCUCUGUCCUUGGGGAAGAAGGCGAAAGCUUGACGGUACCCAAGAAGAAAGCCCCGGCUAACUACGUGCCAGCAGCCGCGGUAAU